Molecule: transfer RNA, 66 nt
Filed under: Placopecten magellanicus (sea scallop)
Lineage: Eukaryota; Metazoa; Mollusca; Bivalvia; Pectinida; Pectinidae
Description: tRNA-Lys
Source: RNAcentral
GCUGGGGUAAUAUAAGAAGUAUGGCCGCUUUUUGAGUGGUGUGUGGUUUUAAGUAGCCUCCCGGCU